RNAcentral lists this ribosomal RNA (677 nucleotides) under Staphylococcus aureus. RNAcentral describes it as "bacterial SSU rRNA". It matches the Rfam family "Bacterial small subunit ribosomal RNA", at positions 36 to 692 of the family's 1533-position model. The record is from RNAcentral. Lineage: Bacteria; Bacillati; Bacillota; Bacilli; Caryophanales; Staphylococcaceae.
CCCGGGGCUGUGGCUUACAAUGCAGUCGUGACGAGCAGAUCGCAGUAGCUUGCUUCUCUGAUGUUAGCGGCGGACGGGUGAGUAACACGUGGGUAACCUACCUAUAAGACUGGGAUAACUCCGGGAAACCGGGGCUAAUACCGGAUAAUAUAUUGAACCGCAUGGUUCAAUGUUGAAAGACGGUUUCGGCUGUCACUUAUAGAUGGACCCGCGCCGUAUUAGCUAGUUGGUAAGGUAACGGCUUACCAAGGCAACGAUACGUAGCCGACCUGAGAGGGUGAUCGGCCACACUGGAACUGAGACACGGUCCAGACUCCUACGGGAGGCAGCAGUAGGGAAUCUUCCGCAAUGGGCGAAAGCCUGACGGAGCAACGCCGCGUGAGUGAUGAAGGUCUUAGGAUCGUAAAACUCUGUUGUUAGGGAAGAACAAAUUUGUUAGUAACUGAACAAGUCUUGACGGUACCUAACCAGAAAGCCACGGCUAACUACGUGCCAGCAGCCGCGGUAAUACGUAGGUGGCAAGCGUUAUCCGGAAUUAUUGGGCGUAAAGCGCGCGUAGGCGGUUUCUUAAGUCUGAUGUGAAAGCCCACGGCUCAACCGUGGAGGGUCAUUGGAAACUGGGGAACUUGAGUGCAGAAGAGGAGAGUGGAAUUCCAUGUGUAGCGGUGAAAUGCGCA